RNAcentral lists this ribosomal RNA (545 nucleotides) under Odorrana margaretae (green odorous frog). RNAcentral's name for it is "partial 16S ribosomal RNA". It matches the Rfam family "Bacterial large subunit ribosomal RNA", at positions 1886 to 2597 of the family's 2925-position model. Lineage: Eukaryota; Metazoa; Chordata; Amphibia; Anura; Ranidae. The record is from RNAcentral.
CGCCUCUUGUAAUCAUAAGGAUCCAGCCUGACCAGUGCAAUUCAACGGCCGCGGCUCCUAACCGUGCGAAGGUGCAUCCUCAUUUGUUCUUUAAUAGGACUGAAUAUCAACGGCACCACGAGGGUUAUACUGUCUCCUAUCUCUAAAUCAGUGAAACUGAUCCCCCCGUGAAGAAGCGGGGAUCUAGCUAUAAGACGAGAAGACCCCAUGGAGCUUUAAACCCAACAUGCACCCCCUCACCUAAACAUCAACUUAACCUAGAGGACCUGCAUGCUGGUUUUAGGCUGGGGGGGCCACGGAGUAAAAUUAAACCUCCAUAACAAAUGGGCUAACACCCUUACCCACGAUUUACAAAUCUAAGAAUUACCAAAAUAAUGUUUAAUGACCCGAUAAUUCGAUCAAUGAACCAAGUUACCCUGGGGAUAACAGCGCAAUCUACUUCAAGAGCUCUUAUCGACAAGUAGGUUUACGACCUCGAUGUUGGAUCAGGGUAUCCUAGUGGUGCAACCGCUACUAAGGUUCGUUUGUUCAACGAUUAAAACCCU